This 370-nucleotide ribosomal RNA is filed under the name uncultured bacterium. RNAcentral describes it as "partial 16S ribosomal RNA". It matches the Rfam family "Bacterial small subunit ribosomal RNA", at positions 99 to 463 of the family's 1533-position model. The record is from RNAcentral.
CGAACAAAAAAAUAACACGUUGAUAACCUACCUAUAAGACUUGGAUAACUUCGUGACACCGUAGCUAAUCCCGGAUAAUAUUUUUAACCGCAUGGUUCAAAAGUGAAAGACGGUCUUGCUGUCACUUAUAUAUUGAUCCGCGCUGCAUUAGCUAGUUGGUAAGGUAACGGCUUACCAAGGCAACGAUGCAUAGCCGACCUGAGAGGGUGAUAGGGAACACUGGAACUGAGACACGGUAAAGACUCCUACGGGAGGCAGCAGUAGGGAAUAGUCCGAAAUGGGAGAAAGCAUGAAGGAGCAACGCCGCGUGAGUGAUGAAGGUCUUUGGUUUGUAAAAUGCUACGACGACCACCGAAAACUACACAAGGUG